CGUAGGGGGCAAGCGUUGUCCGGAAUUAUUGGGCGUAAAGCGCGUGUAGGCGGUCCGGUAAGUCGGCUGUGAAAGUCCAAGGCUCAACCUUGGGAUGCCGGUCGAUACUGCCGGACUAGAGUUCGGAAGAGGCGAGUGGAAUUCCCGGUGUAGCGGUGAAAUGCGCAGAUAUCGGGAGGAACACCAAUGGCGAAGGCAGCUCGCUGGGACGUUACUGACGCUGAGACGCGAAAGCGUGGGGAGCAAACAGGAUUAGAUACCCUGGUAGUCCACGCCGUAAACGAUGGGCACUAGGUGUGGGAGGUGUCGACUCCUCCCGUGCCGGAGCUAACGCAUUAAGUGCCCCGCCUGGGGAGUACGGCCGCAAGGCUA
Molecule: ribosomal RNA, 372 nt
Filed under: uncultured organism
Description: bacterial SSU rRNA
Rfam family: Bacterial small subunit ribosomal RNA
Source: RNAcentral